AAUUAUUAAAUGUUAAAUCAUUAAAUUUAAAAGAUUUGGCGGUAUUUUAAAUUAUUAGAGGAACCUGUAUAGUAAUUGAUAAUCCACGAUAAGAUUAACUUAACUAAUAAAUUUAUGUAUUGCUGUUUAAAGAUUAUUAUUAAUUAAUUUUUUAUAUUUUUAGAUUUAAUUUAAUUCAAGUCAAAAUAUAGUUUAUUUAAGAUUAAUAUGGGUUACAAUUUUUAUUAAUAAUUGAAAAAUUAAAUUUAAAUUAAUUUUAAAAUUGGAUUUAAUAGUAAAUUUAAUAAAUUAAUUAUUUUGAAUUAAAAAUAAAAUAAGU
This 319-nucleotide ribosomal RNA is filed under the name Clypearia weyrauchi. Its description in RNAcentral is "partial 12S ribosomal RNA". Lineage: Eukaryota; Metazoa; Arthropoda; Insecta; Hymenoptera; Vespidae. The record is from RNAcentral.